Long non-coding RNA from Tigriopus californicus, 493 nucleotides. RefSeq lists it as uncharacterized. The transcript has 3 exons. The record is from RefSeq and is a predicted model, not a curated record. NCBI's taxonomy places the organism in Eukaryota, Metazoa, Arthropoda, Copepoda, Harpacticoida, Harpacticidae.
AUUGAGGACUGAAUUCAAGCGUCAAAGAAGCCAUUUCACGGCCAGGAGACUAUCAGACCUGGUGUCCACUUCUUCAUAAGCUAUUUUAACUUUCUAUUUCUCUACCAAUGGUCCGACCCCAGGCCAGCCAAUCCCGAGCUCUAUUUGUUCUAUUUCAUUAAAACGCGCAAACCACACCCACCGACGGAGAACCAAACUGAUACGGGAUGAAGAUCUGCUUCAGGAAAUUCGGAAGUUCACAAUGUGACGGCUGGCCCCUAGGCGGGCAAGGCUCACCUCUUCAACCUCAACAGCCCAAACCAAAAAAAUAAAAGUGAAGUAUUUAGAAUGAUGAAUAUGGAGUUGUAUAUUUGCUGAUCUAUUAGCACAUAUAGCGGGAACUCUAUUGUAAAAUGCAAUUAUUUCAAAAUAGUUAGGUUAUACUGUGUAAAUGCCAGUUUGUAGGUCAAGGAAUCAUUGCAGUUCAAUUCAAGCUCAGAAUACUAUAAUUUCA